GAUGAACGCUGGCGGCGUGCCUAACACAUGCAAGUCGAACGGAGUCGUUUUGGAAAUCUCUUCGGAGAUGGAAUUCUCGACUUAGUGGCGGACGGGUGAGUAACGCGUGAGCAAUCUGCCUUUAAGAGGGGGAUAACAGUCGGAAACGGCUGCUAAUACCGCAUAAAGCAUUAAAUUCGCAUGUUUUUGAUGCCAAAGGAGCAAUCCGCUUUUAGAUGAGCUCGCGUCUGAUUAGCUAGUUGGCGGGGUAACGGCCCACCAAGGCGACGAUCAGUAGCCGGACAGAGGGGGUGAACGGCCACAUUGGGACUGAGACACGGCCCAGACCCCUACGGGAGGCAGCAGUGGGGAAUAGUGCGAAAUGGGGGAAACACUGACGCAGCAACGCCGCGUGAUUGAAGAAGGCCUUCGGGUUGUAAAGAUCUUUAAUCAGGGACGAAACAAAUGACGGUACCUGAAGAAUAAGCGCCGGCUAACUACGUG
RNAcentral lists this ribosomal RNA (483 nucleotides) under uncultured bacterium. Its description in RNAcentral is "partial 16S ribosomal RNA". It matches the Rfam family "Bacterial small subunit ribosomal RNA", at positions 28 to 507 of the family's 1533-position model. The record is from RNAcentral.